Molecule: ribosomal RNA, 1571 nt
Filed under: Escherichia coli
Lineage: Bacteria; Pseudomonadati; Pseudomonadota; Gammaproteobacteria; Enterobacterales; Enterobacteriaceae
Description: bacterial LSU rRNA
Rfam family: Bacterial large subunit ribosomal RNA
Source: RNAcentral
AUGCUGGAGGUAUCAGAAGUGCGAAUGCUGACAUAAGUAACGAUAAAGCGGGUGAAAAGCCCGCUCGCCGGAAGACCAAGGGUUCCUGUCCAACGUUAAUCGGGGCAGGGUGAGUCGACCCCUAAGGCGAGGCCGAAAGGCGUAGUCGAUGGGAAACAGGUUAAUAUUCCUGUACUUGGUGUUACUGCGAAGGGGGGACGGAGAAGGCUAUGUUGGCCGGGCGACGGUUGUCCCGGUUUAAGCGUGUAGGCUGGUUUUCCAGGCAAAUCCGGAAAAUCAAGGCUGAGGCGUGAUGACGAGGCACUACGGUGCUGAAGCAACAAAUGCCCUGCUUCCAGGAAAAGCCUCUAAGCAUCAGGUAACAUCAAAUCGUACCCCAAACCGACACAGGUGGUCAGGUAGAGAAUACCAAGGCGCUUGAGAGAACUCGGGUGAAGGAACUAGGCAAAAUGGUGCCGUAACUUCGGGAGAAGGCACGCUGAUAUGUAGGUGAAGUCCCUCGCGGAUGGAGCUGAAAUCAGUCGAAGAUACCAGCUGGCUGCAACUGUUUAUUAAAAACACAGCACUGUGCAAACACGAAAGUGGACGUAUACGGUGUGACGCCUGCCCGGUGCCGGAAGGUUAAUUGAUGGGGUCAGCGCAAGCGAAGCUCUUGAUCGAAGCCCCGGUAAACGGCGGCCGUAACUAUAACGGUCCUAAGGUAGCGAAAUUCCUUGUCGGGUAAGUUCCGACCUGCACGAAUGGCGUAAUGAUGGCCAGGCUGUCUCCACCCGAGACUCAGUGAAAUUGAACUCGCUGUGAAGAUGCAGUGUACCCGCGGCAAGACGGAAAGACCCCGUGAACCUUUACUAUAGCUUGACACUGAACAUUGAGCCUUGAUGUGUAGGAUAGGUGGGAGGCUUUGAAGUGUGGACGCCAGUCUGCAUGGAGCCGACCUUGAAAUACCACCCUUUAAUGUUUGAUGUUCUAACGUGGACCCGUAAUCCGGGUUGCGGACAGUGUCUGGUGGGUAGUUUGACUGGGGCGGUCUCCUCCUAAAGAGUAACGGAGGAGCACGAAGGUUGGCUAAUCCUGGUCGGACAUCAGGAGGUUAGUGCAAUGGCAUAAGCCAGCUUGACUGCGAGCGUGACGGCGCGAGCAGGUGCGAAAGCAGGUCAUAGUGAUCCGGUGGUUCUGAAUGGAAGGGCCAUCGCUCAACGGAUAAAAGGUACUCCGGGGAUAACAGGCUGAUACCGCCCAAGAGUUCAUAUCGACGGCGGUGUUUGGCACCUCGAUGUCGGCUCAUCACAUCCUGGGGCUGAAGUAGGUCCCAAGGGUAUGGCUGUUCGCCAUUUAAAGUGGUACGCGAGCUGGGUUUAGAACGUCGUGAGACAGUUCGGUCCCUAUCUGCCGUGGGCGCUGGAGAACUGAGGGGGGCUGCUCCUAGUACGAGAGGACCGGAGUGGACGCAUCACUGGUGUUCGGGUUGUCAUGCCAAUGGCACUGCCCGGUAGCUAAAUGCGGAAGAGAUAAGUGCUGAAAGCAUCUAAGCACGAAACUUGCCCCGAGAUGAGUUCUCCCUGACUCCUUGA